UCCGGUUUGGCACCGGCAGUCUCACUAGAGUGCCCGGCAUGACCCGCUGGUAACUAGUGACAAGGGUUGCGCUCGUUGCGGGACUUAACCCAACACCUCACGGCACGAGCUGACGACAGCCGUGCAGCACCUGUGCACGCUCCCUUGCGGGUCCUUCGGGUUUCCCCUCCGUACCACGUGCAUGUCAAGCCCGGGUAAGGUUCUUCGCGUUGCAUCGAAUUAAACCACACGCUCCGCUGCUUGUGCGGGCCCCCGUCAAUUUCUUUGAGUUUUAACCUUGCGGCCGUACUCCCCAGGCGGAUGACUUAACGCGUUAGCUGCGCCACCGAAGCGCCAAGCGCCCCGACAGCUAGUCAUCAUCGUUUACGGCGUGGACUAC
RNAcentral lists this unclassified non-coding RNA (379 nucleotides) under uncultured bacterium. RNAcentral describes it as "contains 16S-23S intergenic spacer region". The record is from RNAcentral.